Molecule: unclassified non-coding RNA, 348 nt
Filed under: soil metagenome
Description: partial contains 5.8S ribosomal RNA, internal transcribed spacer 2, and large subunit ribosomal RNA
Rfam family: 5.8S ribosomal RNA (bases 1-120)
Source: RNAcentral
GAUGAAGAACGUAGCGAAAUGCGAUAAUUAAUGUGAAUUGCAGAAUUUAGUGAAUCAUCGAAUCUUUGAACGCACAUUGCGCCCGCUGGUAUUCCGGCGGGCAUGCCUGUUCGAGCGUCAUUUCAACCCUCAAGCCCCCGGGUUUGGUGUUGGGGAUCGGCUCUGCCCUUCUGGGCGGUGCCGCCCCCGAAAUACAUUGGCGGUCUCGCUGCAGCCUCCAUUGCGUAGUAGCUAACACCUCGCAACUGGAACGCGGCGCGGCCAUGCCGUAAAACCCCAACUUCUGAAUGUUGACCUCGGAUCAGGUAGGAAUACCCGCUGAACUUAAGCAUAUCAAUAAGCGGAGGA